RNAcentral lists this long non-coding RNA (653 nucleotides) under Glycine max (soybean). RNAcentral's name for it is "long non-coding RNA (GMAX_LNC003124)". Lineage: Eukaryota; Viridiplantae; Streptophyta; Magnoliopsida; Fabales; Fabaceae. The record is from RNAcentral.
UUCCCUUUAAUUGUUUUUUAUUAUAAAAUUGACCCCAUGCUUAAACAGAGAUUUCAUAAUCUUCCAUAUAUGUUAAAAUUGUUAUCUUUUAAAAUAAUUAUCUAGGAGGAAUUUGUGAUUAGAUGAUAUGUAAAUUACAUAGCCAUCAAAAAAAAAAAAAACCAUUUAUUAUGAACUAAAUCUAAUUGUGUGGGUUGAAUAUAUGAGUAGAUUUUGGCACCCUUGCCAAUUGGGUUCGCUGUGUUCUUGGUUCACUUGGCAACCAUCCCCAUCACCGGAACUGGUAUCAACCCUGCUCGUAGUCUUGGUGCUGCUAUCAUCUUCAACAAGGACCUUGGUUGGGAUGAACACGUAAGUUGUUAAUUAAUUCAUUUAUUUCAUAAUUGGUAAAAAAAAAAAUCAUUGAACCAAUUUUAGAUUUUUCGGGAAAACGAAUCUGGAGCGUUUGAUCUCUGACGCUUAUUGUUUGUCGUUUUCCGUGCAGUGGAUCUUCUGGGUGGGACCAUUCAUCGGUGCAGCUCUUGCAGCACUCUACCACCAGGUCGUAAUCAGGGCCAUUCCCUUCAAGUCCAAGUGAUUCAAUCAAACGGUUCAUGCUUAAUCAAGUUGGGAACAACAACAACAACAAAAAUCAAGCCAAUGUUUGUGGGUUU